UACAGAGGUCUCAAGCGUUGUUCGGAUUCAUUGGGCGUAAAGGGUGCGUAGGUGGCGCUGUAAGUCGGGUGUGAAAUUUCGGAGCUUAACUCCGAAACUGCAUUCGAUACUGCGGUGCUUGAGGACUGGAGAGGAGACUGGAAUUCAUGGUGUAGCAGUGAAAUGCGUAGAGAUCAUGAGGAAGACCAGUGGCGAAGGCGGGUCUCUGGACAGUUCCUGACACUGAGGCACGAAAGCUAGGGGAGCAAACGGG
RNAcentral lists this ribosomal RNA (253 nucleotides) under uncultured bacterium. RNAcentral's name for it is "partial 16S ribosomal RNA". It matches the Rfam family "Bacterial small subunit ribosomal RNA", at positions 524 to 776 of the family's 1533-position model. The record is from RNAcentral.